GAAGUGAGUGAAGGAUAACAUACGUUGCUUCCUUUCCAUGUCUGGUAGGUGCGGAGAAGCUCCGGCGAGUCGUCGGCGGCGGCAUCGGAUAGCUUCGGUGGAUGUACGACAUGCAUGAUGAUGAUGAUUCUGUGUGAAAGGAAGGUGAAUGAGACAGCUACCGGUGGCGGAUUGUUGACUCCAUUAAUGGAAUGAAUGAAUGCGUCAAAGGAAACGGCCGACGACAAUUUACUCUUUUCAAUUAAAUUUCAAAGUGGUAAAGUUUUUUUUUUCUUUUUUUUCUUUUUUUUAUGGGUCUGACUUCUUGCGGGUUUAGCACUUAAUGGUUCAGAGUGUUUGUUUCGUAAGCAAAUGUCUGAAUGGUUCAAACAUUUGGCUCUGAAUGGUUAAGACCUCUUAUUUGAAUUGGUCAGAUAUUUGUCCUGAAUGAUUAAGCAUUAUACUGGCUCUUAAGAGUUCAGACUUUUUUACUGAUUCAGCACUUAAUGAUUCAGAUCUCUUACUGAUUCAACACUGAUCCAUCCUUAAAAAAUUAUGUGUUUUCCUUUUUCAAAGUGGUAAAGUUGUAAAGUGGUAGAAAUAAAUGUUAUGUU
This 593-nucleotide long non-coding RNA is filed under the name Helianthus annuus (common sunflower). RNAcentral describes it as "hypothetical non coding rna". The record is from RNAcentral. Lineage: Eukaryota; Viridiplantae; Streptophyta; Magnoliopsida; Asterales; Asteraceae.